AAACUGGAACAGGUCGUUCGAGCCGACCGAAAUAAAGUCGACCCGCGUGAGCAGUUCGUCCAUCUGAUAGAGCAGCGCCGGGACCUCGACCAUGGUGCCGACAUCGACGCGCUCGGGCAGCGUAUGUCCGUGCUGGCGCAGAUAGGUCAGUUCGCGCUCGAUGACGAGCUUGGCCUGAUCGAAUUCAUCGACCUGCGAAAUCAUCGGGAACAUGACGCGCAAGUAUCU
RNAcentral lists this unclassified non-coding RNA (228 nucleotides) under Hevea brasiliensis (rubber tree). Lineage: Eukaryota; Viridiplantae; Streptophyta; Magnoliopsida; Malpighiales; Euphorbiaceae. The record is from RNAcentral.